RNAcentral lists this long non-coding RNA (1599 nucleotides) under Triticum aestivum (bread wheat). RNAcentral's name for it is "long non-coding RNA (TAES_LNC015855)". Lineage: Eukaryota; Viridiplantae; Streptophyta; Magnoliopsida; Poales; Poaceae. The record is from RNAcentral.
GCGACCCUUCGGAUGAAGCAGCUAUGCAAGCGGCAGCCUCCACUCCGCCCAGAAUGGCAACACCGCGAGCUUGACACCCAUCAUGUUGAUAAGACCAUGAUCUGAAACAAAAAUAGAAGAGCACUACUGCUGAGAAAAAGCCAUCACGGACAAAUCUUCAGAUGCUCAUAAUGCAUCAUUGAAAUUAUAACCUGGAGUUAACCAAAAUCAUGCAUAACCGAAAUUAUAUAUGCACCCCAAAAUCCAAUUAACCAUGUGAAAUCACAGAGAAGCAAACCUAAAUCCUAAACAAACUAUUUUUGUUCAUUUUUUAAUUUUAAUGUGACAGAAUCUACCCUGUUCACGUUUUUUUAUAAUCGGUAUAAUAGUUGCAACCAUGAUAUCAAUGAACAAAAAAAAUGGAAGGUUAUGGCUUACUUAACGCUUAUCAAUUGAUGUUGUCUGCGCCCCUGCCUUCUGAACCUGAUGCUUCUAAACCUGGUACAACAUGCCGCUCCUCAUUAGAUGGUGUCCCACCAUUUUCUGGACUUUGCCCAGACAUUGGGGAAAAGUGUCAGCGCCUUCAUCAUUUAAUCUGCCGGCAGAAGAGAACACAAUGUGGUCCCAGCAAAAACUUGACAUGCCAACAUCUCCGGAUCAUAGAGGUGCAAUUGUGUUAGAAAUUCUAGGCUUCUACAUAAUAGGAGGGUACCCAACAAGAUCGGUGGGGCGCAGAUUCAUCCCAGUCUACCUGCAUGCACACGAAGAUACAUUAAGUAGUAAAGUCAGAGAAGAAUAUGCAAUAAAAGUGCAAGCCAAGCAAAGCAAAUACGUAAUCAGUGGAGCCAGUUAUUAUAAAAUAAAGAAGACAAUAAGAUCAACCCUUUUAGGCACUAUCUCAAAAUGAAGGAACGGGUGGAAUAGACAACAUGAAACACCUUACUUGAUAUGUCAGGACCAAAGGUGCAGUUAUUUGAAUUGACAGAGUUCAGAAUUGGGCAACCAUGACUGUGAAGAGCUAAUGGCAGUAUGGCACGUAUUUUGCUUUGCUUAAGCAAGCUUGAGAUUUCUCGUUUUCUGAAUAUAAAUAACUGGCUGCUGAUUGCAUUGCUAACUUCAAAUCAAAAUUGCCAUCAGCAACAUUGGGUUAGGUGAAUAAUCAGAGUGAGUCCUGCUGGAAACGGACAAGUGAUCCAAACCCAUCCGACAGAGCAGUCACAGUCAUCUCAUCGAGAUCAAAGCAACUGACAAAAUUAAGAGAAGCAAAGAGAUACAUCUUGGAUGACUUGCACAGAAGUUGCGCACAUCUAUAAGAACCAUGUGAAUCAAACAAUGAUGUUGAGAUUGAGGCCUAAAUCCACUAAACGCUGACACUUAGUACUACUGUAUUAUACGUACAUGACACAACAAGCACAGAUCUUUGGAUGACAGGGCAUCCGCACAAGCCAAAAAUCCUAGAACUUGCCAUGGCGUGAUGGCCAGGGUAAGAUUGAUUGGCCACGGGUGGAUGGCCGUGGGCACACGAGCGCAUGAGAGAAAGCAGAGUUUUGAGGAGCUUAUACCAUAGCUAGGGCGGAGCGAAAGAAGAGGCGUUUGUCCACCGGAGACGGAGGGGAAGGC